UUUUUGUCACUUGCCAUGCAUAUUGGGUUUUAAUGUAACUAAAACAUGGAAAUAUUCUUUUUGUUUUUUUUUUUGUUUUUUUGUUUUUGUUUUUUUUAUCGAUUCAAUAGAAAUGAAAAGUCUUCAACCAAAAGUUAUCUUGGGCUUAAGUGCGUAAGAGAGUUCACGAGGGAGGCAGUAGAGGAGGGCUCUUAGAACUAUAUAUCGAAAUAAGAAGCCGGAGGUUGAAAUUCAACGGAUUGACUGUGUGACAGGGAAUCGAAAUUAGCAGGUUCUGAUUUGAAGAAGAAGAAGAUGGAUAACAUGUCGGCUGUUUGGUAGGGAUGUGCGAUCAAUCCACCUCACUUAUAAUUUUGAUAUGAACCAGUUCUCGCAUUGAGACGCUUUAUUUGGUCUCGAUCAGGUUUUGACACCACUUGUCUAUCUUCUGGUUCCUUUAAUUCACUUGGUACUAUUCAAUAAAUUACUUACGGUUCAGGUUAUUUCGAUUUUGGAGCUAGCGACAUGUAGACAGGUGGGGUGGUACAUCAAUUUUGAUAUAUAUAGCAUAAUGAGACGUGUACUAGUUUGGAUCAAGAAGGACUGAAAGGUGACUGAUUAGAGUCGUGACCAUACUAAAAGUCUAAAACGUAUCAUAGGUUUUCAAUUAAUGAAUCAUUUAAUUUAGUUUACUUUUUUGAAAGGCUGAUGCUAACCAAGCAACAAUACAAUUAUAUGAUGUGAACUGAGAUAAUGGUGGUUGAACAAUAAAGGAGGCCAACCAUUGAAAAACAGAAACUCCUAAAAUGUUGCUGUGUUUUAGUCUCUGUGAUAGACUUUGGGAUGGAUUUAGACUUUAGAGGAAGUGGUUAUUUCCGGUUCUCUUUUUCUAGCAUACAUGCAUUCAAACCCUCAUACGUUUAAGAUAUUACCAGUUUUUUGCGAUUUAUCCUCGCAUGAUGAUGUAUGUUGGAACAUGUUUGAAAUGAGUCAUUCAGAUCGUUUGAUUUAUCAUUUUUUUAUAGCAUUAUCUUAACACACACGAAUUACACGAAUUUUAAAUAUCAGUUAUUUCUGUCAUGUAAGGUGUACAAUCCAUGUUUAUUUUGGUCUAUAGAGUAUGAUACAUAAAUGGCAUAUGGAGUAUAUUUGACUUAUAGGCUAUGGAAUACAUAAAUGGCAUAUGGAGUAUAUUUGACUUAUAGGCUAUGGAAUACAUAAAUGGCAUAUGGAGUAUAUUUGACUUAUAGGCUAUGGAAUACAUAAAUGGCAUAUGGAGUAUAUUUGACUUAUAGGCUAUGGAAUCUCAUGCAUUGGAUUCUGGUGAGAGGAUUUGGGGGAGCCCAUAUGUGUCCGGAUAAAUAGUUCCUUUCUUAGGAUAUAUAUUGUAAAUAUUGUAAAAUAUAAAUGGGUAGUGUCCCAUAUGUGGGAAGUGUAGUAGGGAUGAGAUUUAAAACCAGAAAUUUGUACCGGAACUGGAAGCGUUAGAACCAGAAUAUGUAGAAUCGGUUUGGGUUUUGGUUAUAAAAAAUAACUUUAUCUCAUCAAUGUUGCUUACAUGUUGGUCAACACAACAC
Molecule: long non-coding RNA, 1556 nt
Filed under: Lactuca sativa (garden lettuce)
Lineage: Eukaryota; Viridiplantae; Streptophyta; Magnoliopsida; Asterales; Asteraceae
Description: long non-coding RNA (LSAT_LNC000119)
Source: RNAcentral